GGGUUGUGAGGUUAAGCGACUAAGCGUACACGGUGGAUGCCCUGGCAGUCAGAGGCGAUGAAGGACGUGCUAAUCUGCGAUAAGCGUCGGUAAGGUGAUAUGAACCGUUAUAACCGGCGAUUUCCGAAUGGGGAAACCCAGUGUGAUUCGUCACACUAUCAUUAACUGAAUCCAUAGGUUAAUGAGGCGAACCGGGGGAACUGAAACAUCUAAGUACCCCGAGGAAAAGAAAUCAACCGAGAUUCCCCCAGUAGCGGCGAGCGAACGGGGAGCAGCCCAGAGCCUGAAUCAGUGUGUGUGUUAGUGGAAGCGUCUGGAAAGGCGCGCGAUACAGGGUGACAGCCCCGUACACAAAAAUGCACAUACUGUGAGCUCGAUGAGUAGGGCGGGACACGUGGUAUCCUGUCUGAAUAUGGGGGGACCAUCCUCCAAGGCUAAAUACUCCUGACUGACCGAUAGUGAACCAGUACCGUGAGGGAAAGGCGAAAAGAACCCCGGCGAGGGGAGUGAAAAAGAACCUGAAACCGUGUACGUACAAGCAGUGGGAGCACGCUUAGGCGUGUGACUGCGUACCUUUUGUAUAAUGGGUCAGCGACUUAUAUUCUGUAGCAAGGUUAACCGAAUAGGGGAGCCGAAGGGAAACCGAGUCUUAACUGGGCGUUAAGUUGCAGGGUAUAGACCCGAAACCCGGUGAUCUAGCCAUGGGCAGGUUGAAGGUUGGGUAACACUAACUGGAGGACCGAACCGACUAAUGUUGAAAAAUUAGCGGAUGACUUGUGGCUGGGGGUGAAAGGCCAAUCAAACCGGGAGAUAGCUGGUUCUCCCCGAAAGCUAUUUAGGUAGCGCCUCGUGAAUUCAUCUCCGGGGGUAGAGCACUGUUUCGGCAAGGGGGUCAUCCCGACUUACCAACCCGAUGCAAACUGCGAAUACCGGAGAAUGUUAUCACGGGAGACACACGGCGGGUGCUAACGUCCGUCGUGAAGAGGGAAACAACCCAGACCGCCAGCUAAGGUCCCAAAGUCAUGGUUAAGUGGGAAACGAUGUGGGAAGGCCCAGACAGCCAGGAUGUUGGCUUAGAAGCAGCCAUCAUUUAAAGAAAGCGUAAUAGCUCACUGGUCGAGUCGGCCUGCGCGGAAGAUGUAACGGGGCUAAACCAUGCACCGAAGCUGCGGCAGCGACGCU
RNAcentral lists this ribosomal RNA (1182 nucleotides) under Escherichia coli. RNAcentral describes it as "partial 23S ribosomal RNA". It matches the Rfam family "Bacterial large subunit ribosomal RNA", at positions 1 to 1215 of the family's 2925-position model. The record is from RNAcentral. Lineage: Bacteria; Pseudomonadati; Pseudomonadota; Gammaproteobacteria; Enterobacterales; Enterobacteriaceae.